CGGGUGGCGAGGGCCUGCGCGCCGGGGUGGAUUUCAGAGGGUCGGAAACGGAGCUCGUUUGCUUUGCUUUUGCAUUGCACUGGGACGACUUCCUUUAUGACCCGAGAUGAGACGCUGAAGGCGGUGCGCGCGUCUUGUGUUCUCACUCCUGUCCUCUUCUGCCCAGCUCCCAGUCGUGGCUCACCACGCGGGCCCUGCCCGAGCCGGGCCGGGCGCGUCUCUCCCGGCUGCGCUCUGCAGCUCGUCCCCGCGGGGCUGCUGCUCGGGUGCUUAGCGAGAAGCAGCCGCGAUCCCGACGACAACGUCUGGCGAAAGCCUUCUUCACAGUGCAGAGUGGCUGCGUUCGUGGUCAGUUCCAGACCAAGGCUGUUGAGGAGGUGCAGCCCUUUGGCGCACUCUCCUCAUGUAGCCGAAGACGGACAGUGAGGACGGUAACGGAGCUGGGUCUGGUGCUCAGGGCUGCAGAGCUGUGUGGAGGAGCUGCAGGGCCUUGAAUCACUGCAGGCAGAGGAGACUGUGGGCCUGGAACACCCUAAACUCUGACUGUUCUGGGAAAGAGGAAUAAGCCUUGUAUUUAUGUGAGCCACUUUGUAUUCUAGGUCUUUGACUUUUUUCAAGUCAUCCAAUUACCUUAAUUAACCCAUCUACUAAUAAAAAAUUUAAAAAAUGAG
This 671-nucleotide long non-coding RNA is filed under the name Chinchilla lanigera (long-tailed chinchilla). RNAcentral's name for it is "lncRNA (ENSCLAG00000024395.1)". The record is from RNAcentral. Lineage: Eukaryota; Metazoa; Chordata; Mammalia; Rodentia; Chinchillidae.